Molecule: unclassified non-coding RNA, 1929 nt
Filed under: Leishmania donovani
Lineage: Eukaryota; Euglenozoa; Kinetoplastea; Trypanosomatida; Trypanosomatidae
Description: gene:unknown
Source: RNAcentral
CGCCGCGGGGGCGCAAGGUGGCGCCUAAAACACGCCGUCACACGUAAUCCGGCCAGCUGCAAACAAAGGAGUGGAGGGAACGUCAUUCAGGAACGGAGUUGUCUCUUCACAGGGGAGUGCUGGCCGCCAUCAUCGAAGCGCUGCGACCUUUGCCCACCCUGCGCCUCACACAAUCCCCAUUCGCCCACUCUCUCGAUCCCCCUUCGUAGCAGCGGCUACUCACGACUCGCUGACGCCGACAACGGCCCGCGUGCCCUUCACUCCUUGCCUCGGACUGCCACGGAGAGCGCUCGCCUCGCCCCGGGAUGGCCGCAGCACACAUAGCGCACCGACGUGGCUCCCUCACCUCAGCCACUCACAUCCCACGGCAUACGCCUGCAACUGCGCGCUACGAAGCCCCUCUUCUGAGCAACUGGCGAGCCGUUGGCGGGGUCUCCACGUACUGUGUCGAGGUGCGUGGAUCGGUAGCUGGCUGCUGGGGGUUGGGUGCUGCCGUGCGCGCCGCGGCCGCUCUUUUUGACCGGCACAGCCCCUCAUCUCCUUUUGCGGGUGUCUUUGCGCGCUGUGGUGCAGCGUGAGUUGGAGUGUUUGCUUGUUGUUUUGGUGGCGCCCCCUCCCUGCGCACUUGUUGAGCUGGUAGCAGGCGGCGGUCCUACCAGGGUUGCUCUAUGGCUUCACGUGAAGGCGGUGCGCGUUUUGGACUGUGAGUUAGAAGGUGCGGAGAUGUGCGGCUGAUGAUCCUGUGCCGCGCAGCGUCUUGCAGGCUGUGGUAGCCCCCCUCCCCCCUCCCGUGCUCUGCGGCAUGGUAAUGUGUUGCCUGAGCGUGCAGUGGGGGGCUGCCGCUGUGUGGCACGCGUCGGCGCUUUUGCGAGCAGGCGCCGUUUACGGGGUUGUCUGGGCCUGGGCUGCAAGGUGAAGCGGCGCCGUUUUUUCUUCUGUUCUUUCCCAGCAGGAGCCGCCCCCGCUGCACGUGGAGCGGCCUUGGCAUCUCUGUAUCGAGCUGCUCGCUCAUGGUGGCGUUGCCGGCAUUGUGGAAGCGGACGAAAAGACCGUGUGAGGGGGAUCGGAUGAUGGGCUGCCUCAGCGCUGCAUCGAGGUAACGCCGGGCAUGCCUGUUGGCUGUGGGUGCGCACGACUUCUCCUCAGCGGCGCUGCCGUUGUGUCUCCACUGCGCUGCGAUGAGGAUCCCUUGGGUCGAUGAGAAGGCAAGGAGUGCUGCUGGAUACGCGCGAAGAUGGGGAGAGGUGGUGGUUGCCUUACGACUCAGCGCCGGCAAGAGUACGCCUGCACUCUUGUGCGCGGAUCCUUGUGCUUCGAGUUGGGAAGGGCGAGGUGGUAGUCGCCCAGCCCACCACCACCGCCGUCACCGGCUUUCUCGGUGUUGCGUCUUCUCAUUGCCAAAGGACGCACCCGGCCUGUGCUUCACGCGUUACAGAAGUGACACUGUGCUGCGCGGCGGAUGUCGGAGCAGCGGUCUCUCUCUGCACAGCACUGCGUCCCUGCUCCACCCCUCGAGCUGGAGGCCAUCAAGGCACAAGAAGGCGCGGUCAGAUGAGUGAGGCACUGAGACUCAGCGAUGGCGUUGUGGCUCACACGCACGGAGUCGUCUGUCAUCCGGUGCAACGCAUGCACUCCCGGACACGGAGCAAGCAGGGGACGUGACGGCGCAGCGGUGUGUUCUCUCCGUGACCUCUCAUGUUCCCCUCUGUGUUCUACUCGCUGCGGGACCUCGCCGCCCCCGUUGCGUGCGCCCCUGAGCUCCUGCUGCGCGCGGGAGCAAAGAUGUGCGCUGCUCGGCUUUCCCAUCUCGCCUCGGCGGCCUCUCGCAGCUCCACUGCAGCUCUUCCUUUCUCGCCACCGUCGCCCUCUACAUCACCACCUCAUCCACCCUCUGCCCUCCGCGUCUCUCCUGCUAUUGCGCGCCACCAG